RNAcentral lists this ribosomal RNA (446 nucleotides) under uncultured bacterium. RNAcentral's name for it is "partial 16S ribosomal RNA". It matches the Rfam family "Bacterial small subunit ribosomal RNA", at positions 338 to 795 of the family's 1533-position model. The record is from RNAcentral.
CCUACGGGUGGCAGCAGUCGAGAAUCAUGCACAAUGGGGGAAACCCUGAUGGUGCGACGCCGCGUGGGGGAAUGAAGGUCUUCGGAUUGUAAACCCCUGUCAUGUGGGAGCAAAUUAAAAAGAUAGUACCACAAGAGGAAGAGACGGCUAACUCUGUGCCAGCAGCCGCGGUAAUACAGAGGUUUCAAGCGUUGUGCGGAAGCACUGGGCGUAAAGGCUGCGUAGGCUGUUUCGUAAGUCGUGUGUGAAUGGCCCGGGCUCAACCCGCGGACGGCACAUGAUACUGCGAGACUAGAGUAAGGGAGGGGGAAGCGGAAUUCUCGGUGUAGCAGUGAAAUGCGUAGAUAUCGGGAGGAACACUCGUGGCGAAGGCGGGUUCCUGGACAUUAACUGACGCUGAGGCACGAAGGCCAGGGGAGCGAAAGGGAUUAGAUACCCUUGUAGUC